RNAcentral lists this non-coding RNA (75 nucleotides) under Stentor coeruleus. Lineage: Eukaryota; Ciliophora; Heterotrichea; Heterotrichida; Stentoridae. The record is from RNAcentral.
AUGUGUUUCCAAAGGAGAGAUUUUUAUCAUCUCCCUGGAUAAGGAUGAGAUAUAACUAAAUACUAGAAUAUUUUU